CUGAGCCUUGGCUGGUUUGCUCAGCACGGUAUCUGGAAUUGAUAUGAAAUAUUAAGAAGCUUAUUUUGGUUGCUGGAAGAUAGGAGAGAACACAGGGUUUAAAUGAACUGGUCUGAAGGUGUGAGACUGAAUGCAGGAGAAGUUAGGAGCCAGAUCCCCAGCUAACACUCUCAGUCUGUCCCUAGGAAAAGCCCGUGAGCACAUAAAGCCAGAAGGAACUGAAAGCUGUGAAGAGAGGAAGGUGGUUGGCAGCCCGGGAGCGCUAGCUGUGCUACUUCUGUCACUGCACUGCUGCAUUUUUGAGGACAGAUGCAUUAGCUCAAGAGGCACAAGAUGUCAGCUCUCACAGCCACGUAGACAAGCGAGCUGGCACCGAUGCUGCAGGGGAGCUCUUCGGCUGGGCUGGAAAGAGGACUGCAAGAUUCACAGGGAUUGUUCAAUACAGCUGUUAAAGCACAGCGAGGGAUAAAGCCUUCUUGAAACCUCUGUAAGUCACUGGGUACGUCUUUUGAUUUGGAAUCUUUCUGAACGAUGGUCACCUAUGGCUCCUUUGCAGCUCUCUGUUGCAUAAAAAGGGCCUUCAAAUGUCACCCAUUUUACCUGACACGAUCCUUUCUUCAGCAUUCAUCCUUCAUGACCACAAUGUAUGUGUUCAAGAUGACAGAAACACCCAACAGUGUGUGCUCAGUUCUGAUGGAGUCAUUUUUUAGGUGUUAUUAUUGAUAAUAAAGUAAAAAAAAAAAGAACACUGGCUUUCAAAUCAGAAACAACCUUGUAGUUUUAAGAAGCCAUUCUGGUUAGCUGAAUGAGCAGAGCCAAAGAAUUUGAAGGAAAUGUAAAUGUCCUUGCAAGACACUUCAAUCCAAUCCUAGCAGCACUGUAAAAUCAGGACUAUAAGAGA
Anas platyrhynchos (mallard) is the source of this 901-nucleotide non-coding RNA. NCBI's taxonomy places the organism in Eukaryota, Metazoa, Chordata, Aves, Anseriformes, Anatidae. The record is from RefSeq and is a predicted model, not a curated record.